AUGGACAGAAUUUCUAGGCGCAGCCAAGGUGUGGAGGGCAUCUGUUUUGGUGGCCUGAGGAUCAGGUUUCUGCUUUUUGCAGAUGAUGUGGUCCUGUUGGCUUCAUCAGAACGUGAUCUUCAGCUUUCGCUGGAGCGGUUCGCAGCCGAGUGUGAAGCAGCUGGGAUGAGAAUCAGCCGCUCUAAAUCUGAGACCAUGGUCUUGAUUCGGAAAAGGGUAGAAUGCCUUCUCCGGGUCAGGGAUGAGGUCCUGCCCCAAGUGGAGGAGUUUAAGUAUCUCGGGGUCUUGUUCACGAGUGAGGGAAAGCUGGAGCGUGAGAUCGAUAGGCGGAUUGGUGCUGCAUCUGCAGUGAUGCGGGCGUUCUACCGGUCUGUCGUGGUGAAGAGAGAGCUGAGUCAGAAGGUGAAGCUCUCGAUUUACCGGUCGAUCUACGUUCCUACCUUCACCUAUGGUCAUGAGCUUUGGGUAGUGACCGAAAGAACGAGAUCGCGGAUACAAGCGGCCGAAAUAAGUUUUCUCCUAGACGCCUCCCUGGUGAGGUUUUCCGGGCACGUCCAACCGGGAGGAGACCUAAAGGUAGACCCAGGACAUGGUGGAGGGACUAUGUCUCUCACCUGGCCAGGGAACGCCUUGGGAUUCCCCCGGAGGAGCUGGCCCAAGUGGCUGGGGAGAGGGAAGUCUGGGCCUCUCGCCUCAGGCUGCUGCCCCCGUGACCCGACUCCCGAUAAGCGGAUGAAAAUGGAUGGAUGGACAUUAAUAAUUUUAUUGAAAACUAAAAAGUUCAGAAACAUUAUUUUACAACCUGAUUAUUAUUUAUGUUUGGUCGACGGUGGCACAGGAGCUAAGUGCUCGCCCUGUAAUCAGAAGGUUGUAGGUUCGAGCCAUUCUCAGUCUGUCGCUGUCGUGUUCUUGGGCAAGGCACUAAACCAACUAGCCUGCUGGUGGAGGUCGGAGGGACCCGUGGAGCCUGUGUUCAGCAGCCUCGCCUCUGUCAGCGCUCGGGCAGCUGUGGCUACAUCGUAG
This 1023-nucleotide long non-coding RNA is filed under the name Nothobranchius furzeri (turquoise killifish). Its description in RNAcentral is "lncRNA (ENSNFUG00015020279.1)". The record is from RNAcentral. Lineage: Eukaryota; Metazoa; Chordata; Actinopteri; Cyprinodontiformes; Nothobranchiidae.